This is a non-coding RNA of Caenorhabditis elegans, 97 nucleotides long. The record is from Ensembl. Lineage: Eukaryota; Metazoa; Nematoda; Chromadorea; Rhabditida; Rhabditidae.
UAGUCGGUGUUUGCGUACUUCUGGCGCUACCGUACCCCUCGGAAUUUCAAAAUUGAGCUAGAAGUUUCUAGUUUUCGAGGUUCAGACUGAAAUUUUG